Molecule: long non-coding RNA, 709 nt
Organism: Felis catus (domestic cat)
Lineage: Eukaryota; Metazoa; Chordata; Mammalia; Carnivora; Felidae
Exons: 2
Source: RefSeq, a predicted model, not a curated record
GGAUUUGCUAGCUGGGCCCUGGCUCCCAGAAGCAGUGGUUUGGGAAGAGAAAAGAAGAAGACAUUCCUGGGUGGCCACGUGGUCACCCUGGGGGUGGAGCUGCAGGCAUGUGGCCCCCAGCUACUAAAGGCAAAGUUACCAGUGGAAUUCGGAGAUGAAUCCAAUCUUGGGCACAAACCCCAUGACUUCAGGGCUGGUCAGUUACCCCCCGGGGUUUUGCCUCUGGGCCCCAGGAAAAUGUCUCCGAGGAACCACUGAGCACUUAUGGAAUCUUCCCAACUUCUGUUCCUAGAGGUAUGUUACAAACACAAAUUCCCUUUGGGGAGAAGGUUUUUUUUUGAGAGAAGAAGUAUGAGCAGGGGAGGGGCAGAGAGAAUUCUAAGGCGGCUCUGCACCAUCAGCACAGAGCCCAACAUGGGGCUCAAACUCAUGAACCGUAAGAUCAUGACCUGAGCCAUAAUUGAGCGUUACUUGGACACUUAACCAAAGUAGCCAUCCAGGCACCCUGGGGAGAAGGCUCUCUGUAGGGUGGGGGGGUACCCCUUUACCAGGAGCCCAGAGUAUCUUGGCACUCCCUCCAGGAAGCCCACAGAGAAAUACAAUACAGCAACAAUUGAGACUUAAGGGACAUUUAUUUUUUUGAAAGGGUGGAGGGGACUUUACAAGUAGAGUCUGAAGCCAAUAACUAGAAAGGAAGAUAAAUAAAAUA